UGGUGGUUUCACCUCAAUUGUUGUCAGUUGCUGACUGACCAUUUGGUCGUUUGUUUGUUUUGUUUGUUGGUGUGUGUGUGUGCAAAUUCCUUUUGAUUUCCCGCCACCAAAGCAAUGUAGGUGACCCACUCAGCAUGGACGGUCACUUAGCUCCGGUCUUCUCGCCUAUUCACACUCAUCCUCCAUAGGUGAAUGCAGAUAGAAGCUGUUAAACUGUUCUGGUAUUUGCUGUAAUAACUGACCCGAGCUGUGCUCUGGUACCACAGCUUUUGGCUCCACAACCUCUGGUGCCACUACUUCCGGUGUUACUUCCUGAACAUCAAGAACACCGCCUGCUUCAUACCAAACAAAGGCUACCUUAUCUAUAUUUUGUGUUGUGUUCUAUUUAUUUUGUGGCUGUAAAUAUGUGUAAAUAUAUGUGGUUUGGAUA
This 430-nucleotide long non-coding RNA is filed under the name Penaeus japonicus. RNAcentral's name for it is "uncharacterized LOC122255977". Lineage: Eukaryota; Metazoa; Arthropoda; Malacostraca; Decapoda; Penaeidae. The record is from RNAcentral.